AUUGAACGCUGGCGGCAUGCCUUACACAUGCAAGUCGAACGGUAACAGGUCUUCGGAUGCUGACGAGUGGCGAACGGGUGAGUAAUACAUCGGAACGUGCCCGAGAGUGGGGGAUAACGAAGCGAAAGCUUUGCUAAUACCGCAUACGAUCUCAGGAUGAAAGCAGGGGACCGCAAGGCCUUGCGCUCACGGAGCGGCCGAUGGCAGAUUAGGUAGUUGGUGGGAUAAAAGCUUACCAAGCCGACGAUCUGUAGCUGGUCUGAGAGGACGACCAGCCACACUGGGACUGAGACACGGCCCAGACUCCUACGGGAGGCAGCAGUGGGAAUUUGGACAAUGGGCGCAAGCCUGAUCCAGCCAUGCCGCGUGCAGGAUGAAGGCCUUCGGUUGUAACUAGCUUUGUACGGUAACGAAAGAACUCUGGUUAAUAACCUGGGUCCGAUGACGGUACCGUAAGAAUAAGACACCGGCGUAACUAACGUGCCAGCACG
Molecule: ribosomal RNA, 491 nt
Filed under: uncultured bacterium
Lineage: Bacteria
Description: bacterial SSU rRNA
Rfam family: Bacterial small subunit ribosomal RNA
Source: RNAcentral